This 368-nucleotide ribosomal RNA is filed under the name uncultured prokaryote. Its description in RNAcentral is "bacterial SSU rRNA". It matches the Rfam family "Bacterial small subunit ribosomal RNA", at positions 524 to 896 of the family's 1533-position model. The record is from RNAcentral.
UACGGAGGAUCCAAGCGUUAUCCGGAAUCAUUGGGUUUAAAGGGUCCGUAGGCGGCUUAAUAAGUCAGUGGUGAAAUCCCUACGCUUAACGUAGGAACGGCCAUUGAUACUGUUAGGCUUGAAUUAUUAGGAAGUAACUAGAAUAUGUAGUGUAGCGGUGAAAUGCUUAGAGAUUACAUGGAAUACCAAUUGCGAAGGCAGGUUACUACUAAUUGGUUGACGCUGAUGGACGAAAGGGGGGGUAGCGAACAGAAUUAGAUACACUGGUAGUCCACGCCGUAAACGAUGGAUACUAGCUGUUGGGAGCAAUCUCAGUGGCUAAGCGAAAGUGAUAAGUAUCCCACCUGGGGAGUACGUUCGCAAGAAUG